UUUAUGGAGAGUUUGAUCCUGGCUCAGGAUGAACGCUGGCGGCGUGCCUAAUACAUGCAAGUCGAGCGAACGGACGAGAAGCUUGCUUCUCUGAUGUUAGCGGCGGACGGGUGAGUAACACGUGGAUAACCUACCUAUAAGACUGGGAUAACUUCGGGAAACCGGAGCUAAUACCGGAUAAUAUUUUGAACCGCAUGGUUCAAAAGUGAAAGACGGUCUUGCUGUCACUUAUAGAUGGAUCCGCGCUGCAUUAGCUAGUUGGUAAGGUAACGGCUUACCAAGGCAACGAUGCAUAGCCGACCUGAGAGGGUGAUCGGCCACACUGGAACUGAGACACGGUCCAGACUCCUACGGGAGGCAGCAGUAGGGAAUCUUCCGCAAUGGGCGAAAGCCUGACGGAGCAACGCCGCGUGAGUGAUGAAGGUCUUCGGAUCGUAAAACUCUGUUAUUAGGGAAGAACAUAUGUGUAAGUAACUGUGCACAUCUUGACGGUACCUAAUCAGAAAGCCACGGCUAACUACGUGCCAGCAGCCGCGGUAAUACGUAGGUGGCAAGCGUUAUCCGGAAUUAUUGGGCGUAAAGCGCGCGUAGGCGGUUUUUUAAGUCUGAUGUGAAAGCCCACGACUCAACCGUGGAGGGUCAUUGGAAACUGGAAAACUUGAGUGCAGAAGAGGAAAGUGGAAUUCCAUGUGUAGCGGUGAAAUGCGCAGAGAUAUGGAGGAACACCAGUGGCGAAGGCGACUUUCUGGUCUGUAACUGACGCUGAUGUGCGAAAGCGUGGGGAUCAAACAGGAUUAGAUACCCUGGUAGUCCACGCCGUAAACGAUGAGUGCUAAGUGUUAGGGGGUUUCCGCCCCUUAGUGCUGCAGCUAACGCAUUAAGCACUCCGCCUGGGGAGUACGACCGCAAGGUUGAAACUCAAAGGAAUUGACGGGGACCCGCACAAGCGGUGGAGCAUGUGGUUUAAUUCGAAGCAACGCGAAGAACCUUACCAAAUCUUGACAUCCUUUGACAACUCUAGAGAUAGAGCCUUCCCCUUCGGGGGACAAAGUGACAGGUGGUGCAUGGUUGUCGUCAGCUCGUGUCGUGAGAUGUUGGGUUAAGUCCCGCAACGAGCGCAACCCUUAAGCUUAGUUGCCAUCAUUAAGUUGGGCACUCUAAGUUGACUGCCGGUGACAAACCGGAGGAAGGUGGGGAUGACGUCAAAUCAUCAUGCCCCUUAUGAUUUGGGCUACACACGUGCUACAAUGGACAAUACAAAGGGCAGCGAAACCGCGAGGUCAAGCAAAUCCCAUAAAGUUGUUCUCAGUUCGGAUUGUAGUCUGCAACUCGACUACAUGAAGCUGGAAUCGCUAGUAAUCGUAGAUCAGCAUGCUACGGUGAAUACGUUCCCGGGUCUUGUACACACCGCCCGUCACACCACGAGAGUUUGUAACACCCGAAGCCGGUGGAGUAACCUUUUAGGAGCUAGCCGUCGAAGGUGGGACAAAUGAUUGGGGUGAAGUCGUAACAAGGUAGCCGUAUCGGAAGGUGCGGCUGGAUCACCUCCUUUCU
RNAcentral lists this ribosomal RNA (1554 nucleotides) under Staphylococcus aureus. RNAcentral describes it as "16S ribosomal RNA". It matches the Rfam family "Bacterial small subunit ribosomal RNA". The record is from RNAcentral. Lineage: Bacteria; Bacillati; Bacillota; Bacilli; Caryophanales; Staphylococcaceae.